AGUAAGUUAGUAUACUUAAUACAUUUAAUUUAGGCUUAAAAAAAAGAUAAAAUCUACUUACCA
This 63-nucleotide transfer RNA is filed under the name Chamberlainia hainesiana. RNAcentral describes it as "tRNA-Leu". Lineage: Eukaryota; Metazoa; Mollusca; Bivalvia; Unionida; Unionidae. The record is from RNAcentral.